RNAcentral lists this ribosomal RNA (455 nucleotides) under uncultured organism. RNAcentral describes it as "bacterial SSU rRNA". It matches the Rfam family "Bacterial small subunit ribosomal RNA", at positions 346 to 794 of the family's 1533-position model. The record is from RNAcentral.
GUGCAGCAGACGCGAAUUUUUCUCAAUGGGGGAAACCCUGAAGGAGCGACGCCGCGUGGAGGAUGAAGGUCUUCGGGUUGUAAACUCCUGUCAUUUGGGAACAAGUGCCAACAAGUAACUACUGUUGGCUUGAUAGUACCAGAAGAGGAAGAGACGGCUAACUCUGUGCCAGCAGCCGCGGUAAUACAGAGGUCUCAAGCGUUGUUCGGAUUCAUUGGGCGUAAAGGGUGCGUAGGUGGCGCCGUAAGUCAGGUGUGAAAUCUCGGAGCUUAACUCCGAAACUGCAUUUGAUACUGCGGUGCUUGAGGACUGGAGAGGAGACUGGAAUUUACGGUGUAGCAGUGAAAUGCGUAGAGAUCGUAAGGAAGACCAGUGGCGAAGGCGGGUCUCUGGACAGUUCCUGACACUGAGGCACGAAGGCCAGGGGAGCAAACGGGAUUAGAUACCCGGGUAGU